UGUGACUAAAGGUGUGUGCCACCACUGCC
This 29-nucleotide non-coding RNA is filed under the name Mus musculus (house mouse). Lineage: Eukaryota; Metazoa; Chordata; Mammalia; Rodentia; Muridae. The record is from RNAcentral.